Molecule: ribosomal RNA, 498 nt
Filed under: uncultured bacterium
Lineage: Bacteria
Description: partial 16S ribosomal RNA
Rfam family: Bacterial small subunit ribosomal RNA
Source: RNAcentral
AUUGAACGCUGGCGGCAUGCCUUACACAUGCAAGUCGAACGGUAACAGGUCUUCGGAUGCUGACGAGUGGCGAACGGGUGAGUAAUACAUCGGAACGUGCCCGAUCGUGGGGGAUAACUACUCGAAAGAGUAGCUAAUACCGCAUACGAUCUACGGAUGAAAGCGGGGGAUCUUCGGACCUCGUGCGGACGGAGCGGCCGAUGGCAGAUUAGGUAGUUGGUGGGAUAAAAGCUUACCAAGCCGACGAUCUGUAGCUGGUCUGAGAGGACGACCAGCCACACUGGGACUGAGACACGGCCCAGACUCCUACGGGAGGCAGCAGUGGGGAAUUUUGGACAAUGGGCGAAAGCCUGAUCCAGCAAUGCCGCGUGCAGGAUGAAGGCCUUCGGGUUGUAAACUGCUUUUGUACGGAACGAAAAGACUCCUUCUAAUACAGGGGGUCCAUGACGGUACCGUAAGAGUAAGCACCGGCUAACUACGUGCCAGCCGCCGCGGUAA